UUUAUUAUAUAUAUAUAUAUAUAACUCAGAAAUCACCCUAAGUUCGACCAUAAUAUAAAACCAGAGUUAAAAAAACCAUUAGGAUGAACCCAAAAAAAAUUCACAAAUUUAUUUUCUCCUUUGUUUUUAGUUUGACCAAUUAAUGCAUACUUUCAGUCAAUUAUAGAGAAUAACCAAAUAUAUUUCCCAUCCAUUAGUUUAUUUUAUUCUUCAUUUAAUUACCAUUCCAUUAUUCUAAUCUAAUAAAGAUGUUGUUAGGGUAUAAGGCUUGUGUCUGAAGGUAGGAAUGAGCAUCAUAAUUUGUCAACUCCCCUGAACAAAGGGUCGUUUUGUUUCCUUAAUUGAACUUCUACCAAUAGACAGGUAUGAGAUGUCAUAUUCACAGCUAGAAAUCAG
RNAcentral lists this unclassified non-coding RNA (396 nucleotides) under Hevea brasiliensis (rubber tree). Lineage: Eukaryota; Viridiplantae; Streptophyta; Magnoliopsida; Malpighiales; Euphorbiaceae. The record is from RNAcentral.